GACGAACGCUGGCGGCGUGCCUAAUACAUGCAAGUCGAACGAGAGCGACCGGUGCUUGCACUGGUCAAUCUAGUGGCGAACGGGUGAGUAACACGUGGGUAACCUGCCCAUCAGAGGGGGAUAACAUUCGGAAACGGAUGCUAAAACCGCAUAGGUCUUCAAACCGCAUGGUUUGAAGAGGAAAAGAGGCGCAAGCUUCUGCUGAUGGAUGGACCCGCGGUGCAUUAGCUAGUUGGUGAGGUAACGGCUCACCAAGGCAAUGAUGCAUAGCCGAGUUGAGAGACUGAUCGGCCACAUUGGGACUGAGACACGGCCCAAACUCCUACGGGAGGCAGCAGUAGGGAAUCUUCCACAAUGGACGCAAGUCUGAUGGAGCAACGCCGCGUGAGUGAAGAAGGGUUUCGGCUCGUAAAGCUCUGUUGGUAGUGAAGAAAGAUAGAGGUAGUAACUGGCCUUUAUUUGACGGUAAUUACUUAGAAAGUCACGGCUAACUACGUGCCAGCAGCCGCGGUAAUACGUAGGUGGCAAGCGUUGUCCGGAUUUAUUGGGCGUAAAGCGAGUGCAGGCGGUUCAAUAAGUCUGAUGUGAAAGCCUUCGGCUCAACCGGAGAGUUGCAUCAGAAACUGUUGAACUUGAGUGCAGAAGAGGAGAGUGGAACUCCAUGUGUAGCGGUGGAAUGCGUAGAUAUAUGGAAGAACACCAGUGGCGAAGGCGGCUCUCUGGUCUGCAACUGACGCUGAGGCUCGAAAGCAUGGGUAGCGAACAGG
Molecule: ribosomal RNA, 767 nt
Filed under: uncultured Granulicatella sp.
Lineage: Bacteria; Bacillati; Bacillota; Bacilli; Lactobacillales; Carnobacteriaceae
Description: bacterial SSU rRNA
Rfam family: Bacterial small subunit ribosomal RNA
Source: RNAcentral